This is a long non-coding RNA of Dreissena polymorpha, 9017 nucleotides long. RefSeq lists it as uncharacterized. The transcript is spliced from 2 exons. The record is from RefSeq and is a predicted model, not a curated record. NCBI's taxonomy places the organism in Eukaryota, Metazoa, Mollusca, Bivalvia, Myida, Dreissenidae.
CCAAUUUUUUUUUUUGAAACGGUUAAAAAACACAAAUAUUUAUUUUUAUUAUUUUAUGUUUGAAAUACCGUCCAACCAGAAAUACUGUCCAACCAUCGAACCCAAGAAUCCCCCCCCCCAUGGGUUUUUUCCGCAUUUUUUGGAAAAUAAUGUAAUAAAUGUCCACACACCCACACUUUACACCCCUCUUCACUCCACCCCUCCCUCCUUUGUGAUUGAAAAUGAGAGUCCCUUCACCUUUAAAAAGAAAAAGAUGAGCGGUCUGCACCCGCAAGGCGGUGUUCUUGUUUUACAUUUGACAUGAAUGUUCUGCACUUCAAAAUGACAUGAUAAUGUCUCAAGUGUCAUUAUUAAAUUAGCACUAUUAAGGGUAAGCAUGAAUACAUAGUAACAUUUAUUUGCUUUAGCCCCACAGUUUCUGCUUUGUGCAAUAAACAGUCUUGUUUGAAUUACUAGCACAAUAAUAAAUUAUUAAACAUGUUUCAUUUUCCAUUAAAGUCCACUAAAAGAAUUAUAAUGUAUAUAAUCUUCAUUCCAGUCCACAAACCAUAUCUCUAUGAGAAAUUCUCAGUCAUACUCAAAAUAAGUUUCAAUCAAACAGUGUGUUGAACAAAUAAGAGUGUGUUAAACAAGUACCUCUUUUGUACCAAACAUGCAUCAAUACUGAGGUCUGCUUUCCCAUGUACAGCCAAGUUCAUCCAUCAAUACAUUUUAAGUUGCACUUCUUGCUAGAUGAUUUUCUCGGCCACAUUCCGAAGUCACUGUGUCCAAAAUUUAUACAUGUACCCACCAACAACAAAACUUGUUCAUUCAUGAUGUUUAAAAAAGGUAUAUAUUGAUAGAAUUAUACUGUUGAAAUUAAAUAUUUCACCAUCACCAGCCUAGUGGUUAAAAAGCACCUUAUAUCCCACUGUAGCACCUUUAUUUUAUGGUUAUAAUUUAAAGGUAUCCUAUGAAAAAUCACCUGUAUAUGGUAUACACCUUAAAAUAAACACUUCAUUUAAACAGGUAAAUUGUUAUUUGUUAACCAAGGUUGAUGGUGUUGUAUGGCAUAUUAUGAACUUGGAGACUUUUGUAAGGCAACACACACUCGCAGACCUAUCUAAUGCAACACUUUGCAAACUUUAAUAUCUCAGUUAUAAGAAGAGAUUUUGGUUUUACAUGUGAUCACUUGACUACAUUCUUUGCAAGCUUUGAUAUAAUCAUUCAUUCAUGACUGUUGGACACUAUCACGUGGAGUUGGUAACCUGCAACAUUCCAAUGACCUGGUUGUGUUCUUGAAUAUUCUUACGAGCCAUAUUGCUUUUUGAAUUGACUUUAUUUUUGCCUCCUGUAUAAACCCACUUAAAUUCAUGAUAGUUAAAAAAAUUAUAAUGAUAUUGCAUUUUACCAUUUCCACGUGCAAAAAGAAUCAUUCCUACCCCACGUGCUACAGCUACCAAUUGUCAGGGAUAAAAGAAGCAUUCCUACCCCACGUGCUACAGCUACCAACUGUCAGGGAUAAAAGAAUCAUUCCUACCCCACGUGCUACAGCUACCAAUUGUCAGGCAUAAAAGAAUCAUUCCUACCCCACAUGCUACAGCUACCAAUUGUCAGGGAUAAAGGAAUCAUUCCUACCCCACGUGCUACAGCUACCAAUUGUCAGGGAUAAAGGAAUCAUUCCUACCCCACGUGCUACAGCUACAAAUUGUCUGGGAUAAAGGAUUUUUUCCUGAGCUUGCACAGAAUCUCACUUAUGAGUGAGAUAUUAAAGUUUGAAAGUUUUGCCUCAAAAAGUCUUCAAGUGUAGUUUCUAAGUAUUUUUCAUGCUAUUGAACUGAUCUUGAAUGCGCGUUGGGACCAAAUAUAGAAAGAUUAGUUCUCCAAGAUCAUAAAAUAUUAUGUAUUGCAUGUAUUGAAACAGUAGGAGUAUAUUAUUCACAUGUAGAUUUAUAAUGCUACGCAAAUAUGGAAUGUGUUGUGUCACAUUAUUUCCAUUUAAAUGUUUAUUCUCAUUUUCAUUUUGUUAUAUUUACUCAAGCAGACUGUUGUAUUUGAGAAACUAACUUGUUUCUUAAGCUAUGUGCUAAACAUUGAAUCUCAUUUGAAAAAAAAAUGUGUUGUGUAGGAAAGGUUUUUAUACGCCCGUAUAAAAUACGGGACGUAUUAUGUGAAACCCCGCGGCGGGCGGCGGGCGGCGGGCGGCGGGCGGCGGGCGGAAGGCAUCACUUUGUCCGGACUCUAAUUCAAAUUGUAUUCAUCCGAUCUUCACCAAACUUGGUCAGCAGUUGCAUCUAGUUGAUAUCUAGGCCAAGUUCGAAUAUGGGUCAUGCCGGGUCAAAAACUAGGUCAUAGGGUCAAUUAGUGCAUUUUCAACGGCGCCACUUUGUCCGGACUCUAAUUCAAAUUGUAUUCAUCCGAUCUUCACCAAACUUGGUCAGCAGUUGCAUCUAGUUGAUAUCUAGGCCAAGUUCGAAUAUGGGUCAUGCCGGGUCAAAAACUAGGUCAUAGGGUCAAUAAGUGCAUUUUCAAAGGGGCCACUUUGUCCGGACUCUAUUUCAAAUUGUAUUCAUCCGAUCUUCACCAAACUUGGUCAGCAGUUGCAUCUAGUUGAUAUCUAGGCCAAGUUCGAAUAUGGGUCAUGCCGGGUCAAAAACUAGGUCAUAGGGUCAAUUAGUGCAUUUUCAACGGCGCCACUUUGUCCGGACUCUAAUUCAAAUUGUAUUCAUCCGAUCUUCACCAAACUUGGUCAGUAGUUGCAUCUAGUUGAUAUCUAGGUCAAGUCCGAAUAUGGGUCAUGCUGGGUCAAAAACUAGGUCAAAGGGUCAAUUAGUGCAUUUUACUUUGUCCGGACUCUAAUUCAAAUUGUAUUCAUCCGAUCUUCACCAAACUUGGUCAGCAGUUGCAUCUAGUUGAUAUCUAGGCCAAGUUCGAAUAUGGGUUAUGCCGGGUCAAAAACUAGGUCACAGGGUCACUUAGUGCAUUUCAAGCAUUAAGCAUGGUGUCCGCUCUCUAAUUGAAUUAGUUUUUUUCCAAUCUUCACCAAACUUGGUCAGAAGUUGUAUCUGGACAAUGUCUAGGUCAAGUUCGAAUAUGGGUCAUGCCGGGUCAAAAACUAGGUAACGGGGUCACUAAGUGCAUUUCAAGCAUUUAGCAUGGUGUCGGCUCUCUAAUUGAAGUAGUUUUCAUCCGAUCUUCACCACAUUUGGUCAGAAGUUGUGUCUAGACAAUAUCUAGGUCAAGUUCAAAUAUGGGUCAUGUCAGGUCAAAAACUAGAUCACGAGGUCACUUAGUGCAUUUCAAGCAUUAAGCAUGGUGUCCGCUCUCUAAUUGAAGUAGUUUUCAUCUGAUCUUCACCAAAUUUGGUCAGAAGUUGUGUCUAGAUGAUAUGUAGGUCAAGUUCAAAUAUGGGUCAUGGUAAAGUUAUCAAGUUGUCCAAAACCUUCAAACGGGCGUAUCUUGUGACAGUUUGGCACUCUUGUUUAUGUUUCUCAUCUAUGUAUAUGUUAUCACAAAUACACAAAUCCUUGUUGGUUGUUGCAUUUAAUAUAAAUAGUGUAUAUGUUAUUACAAAUACACAAAUCCUUGUUGGUUGUUGCAUUGAAUAAGACCAACAAUUUAAAAUUGCCAGGAACUGAAAUGUUUUCUUUUUUACACAAAUUUGUGAAUUGUUUAAAUAUAAGGUUGUCUUUAUUCUGUCAAUACUUAGUGCAUAGUAUGCAAUAUUCAGUGAUGGGUUUAUUUAAAACAAAUCUGUAUCUGUCAUUUAUAUUGCAUUUUAUAAUAAUGCUCAUGGAAAAAAAUUGUUUUAUGUUAAAAUAUUUUUAGCUCACCUGUCACGGAGUUACAUGAUGAGCUUAUGUGACUGUAUGAUGUCUGGCGUCCGUUGUGUGUGCGUGCAUGUGUGCGUGCGUCUGUCCGUCAACAAUUUGUUUGUGUAGACAGAAGAGGUCACAGUUUUCAUCAAAUCUUUAUGAAAUUUGGUCAAAAUGUUUAUCUUGAUGAAAUCUGGGUUGGGAUUGUAUUUGGGUCAUCUGGGAUCAAAAACUAGGUCACUAGGUCAAAAACUAGGUCACAUUAUAGGUCAAAUAAUAGAAAAACCUUGUGUAGAUAAUAGAGGUUGCAGUUUUCAUCCAAUCUUUAUGAAAUUUGGUCAGAAUGUUUAUCUUGAUGAAAUCUGGGUUGGGAUUGUAUUUGGGUCAUCUGGGUCAAAAACUAGGGCACUAGGUAAAAAACUAGGUCAAAUAAUAGAAAAACCUUGUGUAGACAGUAGAGGUCACAGUUUUCAUCCAAUCUUUAUGAAAUUUGGUCAGAAUGUUUAUCUUGAUGAAAUCUGGGUUGGGAUUGUAUUUCGGUCAUCUGGGGUCAAAAACUAGGUCACUAGGUCAAAAACUAGGUCAAAUAACAGAAAAACCUUGUGUAAACAGUAGAGGUCACAGAUUUCAUCCAAUCUUUAUGAAAUUUCGUCAGAAUGUUUAUCUUGAUUAAAUCUGGGUUGGGAUUGUAUUUGGGUCAUCUGGGGUCAAAAACUAGGUCACUAGGUCAAAAACUAGGUCAAAUAAUAGAAAAACCUUGUGUAGACAAUAGAGGUCGCAGUUUUCAUCCAAUCUUUAUGAAAUUUGGUCAGAAUGUUUAUCUUGAUGAAAUCUGGGUUGGGAUUGUAUUUUGGUCAUCUGAGGUCAAAAACUAGUUCACAAGGUAAAAUAAUAGAAAAACCUUCAACAAUUUGUUUGUGUAGACAGUAGAGAUCACAGUUUUCAUCCAAUCUUUAUGAAAUUUGGUCAGAAUGUUUAUCUUGAUGAAAUCUGAGUUGGGAUUGUGUUUGGGCCAUCUGGGGUCAACAACUAGGUCACUAGGUCAAAAACUAGGCCACUAGGUCAUAUAAUAGAAAAACCUUGUUUAGACAAUAGAGGUCACAGUUUUCAUCCAAUCUUUAUGAAAUUUGGUCUGAAUGUUUAUCUUGAUGAAAUCUGGGUUGGGAUUGCAUUUGGUUAGUCAGGUGAGCCAUUCAGGGCCAUCAUGGCCCUCUUGUUAAUUGAUACCAGCAUGAAAUUUGGGAGUAGAAUCAAAGUUAAACAGGCUAGUCUAGAGCUAUGCUGGCUGCAUAUGGCAUUACACUCAUUUUUGUAUGAUGUAACUCAAAUUAUGAACUACAUUACAAACUAUGGUACACUCGCCUAACUCACCAACUUCAAACUUAUAAUAGGGAACUUUAUUUUGAUUUGUUGAUCUGUUUAAUGAGUUACACACAUUUCAUGGAAAUUUUAGUCUUAUGUAAUACACUUGUGCUGCAUGGAAACUAACAUAUAAUUUUGUUUGAUAUUUGGUUGUAAAUUUAUUUACUAGGGUUUUAUUUUUAUUUCAUCUGUUAAGAAAUCCAUUUAUGACAUGUUUCUUGAAAUCCGAAACAAAUGUUUUGCAGAAAAUACUAAACAGCAUGGUGCAAAUUUACUAAAUGUACUCAACAAAUGUCUGUUUACAUUAUGGCUUGAAAAAGGUAAAGUUGAUCAUGAUAAUUGCUUGGUGAACAUUACAUGCUGUAGAGAUUAACUAUAUUUGAAUUGUCCUCACAAUCACUUUGUAUUUGAUUGCUUAUAUAAAAAAAUAGUUUUAAGUGAACUAAACUCUGGUCAUUUGAAACUACUUGCAGUCAAUAUUUUGAAAUAAACAUAAGUUGUUUUAUUAUGCUCCCCCAAUUUUUUUUGGGAAAGCAAAUAGUCGCCGCUUCAUCUGUCCGUGUGUGUGUCCGUCCAUGCACAAUUUUUGUCCGGGCUAUUUCUCAGCAAUUAAUGACCGGAAUUCAAUUAAACUUUAUGGGAAGCUUUACUACCAAGAGGAGAUGUGCAUAUUAUAAGCCGGUUCUAGUCGGAUGAUUUUUCACAGAGUUAUGGCCCUUUGAAAUUUUCUAUAAACUGUACAUAUAGUGCAAUUCUUGUCCCCCCAACUACUAGAUGUUUCCUUUUAUCUGAGUAUAUAGUGCAAUAUUGUGACAAAAAACAACCUUUGGGGAGCAUCACCCCUCUCCGACGGUUUCUUGUUUCUAAUAUUGGCCACAUUUUUGUGAAAAUAAGCAUCAUUCUUUCAUUUAUAAUGAUUUUUGUGAAAGCAACAGCAUUUCAUAUAUUAUGUACUGCAAAAUUCAUUUUACAUUUGUUUUUAUUGUUAACAAAUAUUUUGUAGAAAAUUAUUAUGAAUGUAUCAUUACAUAUUGCACGAGGUUGUGGGAUUUAUUUGAAUACAUGUAUAUACCAUUUCAUGCUUAUAUUUGGAGAAUCCUUUGUUAAUUGUGAUUUUAUAUAUAAAUGUGUAUUAAUGGUCCAUACAUGCUGUUCUGAAAAAAAUGAAUAAUAUCAGAAGGUGACUGUCUUGUCUUGGUUGUGUGGUCCUUAAAGAAAACGGUUUUGAAAUCAAUUUGCCUAUAAAUUAAUCAUUUAAUGUCUAAAAUUGUGCUAAUGAACAAAAGCCAUGCGCUGGUUUCAGAAUAUUUUUAUGGGUUCUUUAUUUAAGAGGAAAGUUCAUUUAAUUGCACAAAUCAUGAAAGAAAUUUCAGCAAAUUUUUCUUUAUUGAUUUCUUCACAGACAUUAUUUUGAAAGUGUAAUCCCUAAAUAUGUGUAACAAUAAAUAGUUGAUAUGUUUUAAGGUAGUGCACCUCUAAUGAUUUCCCGCGAUUUCUUCGAAGGUUGAAGAGCCUACUAUUAGGUGCCGUAGCCUAGUGGUUAAGGCGAUAGACUAGAAAUCUUUUGGGAUAUUCCCGCGCAGGUUCGAAUCCUGCCGACGACGUAUACUUUUUUGCGACGCGUUUUAUUUAUUUUCUAACGUAAUUUGAUUUAAUAUGGCAUAUAAGCUAUAUUUAUUGUUAAAUAUGUUGCAAUUUUUAUGCACAUUUUUCAAUUAUUAAAAUUAAAACAACGUUAUGGCGAAAUUGGGUGAUUUACUGUUGAAAAUACGAACCAUGCAUGUUGCAUUUUUAUUUUUAUUUCAAAAAGUAAACGGUAAAUCUGUCUAGUUCUUGGUAUUUUUGCUGUAUAUAGUGUUUCUAUAAAAACUAAGUUUAAAAUAUGACUUAAAUGAUACUAUUUUGAAUUUUAUGACACUUUGUUUUUAACCGACCCAAUUUUUACUUGGCUGAAAUCACUUACAUUUCAUGGUGCUCUUCCAUAGAUAAAAAUUUGUAAAAAAUAAAUGUCUGUAAAAGAAUACUUAUUUCAUCUUGUUUAAACUUUAAACACCUUUACAGCAUCUGUACACACCAACUGCAUGCCCAUAUUUGGAAAUUUGAAUGAAUUAUGGAACUUUUAUAUACCCCAGGGGUGAAAAUAAACUGGGCAAAAGCCGAGCGUGGGGGUGGUUUUGAAAAAAUCGGUAUAUUUUUUUAAAAAGCAUGGAAAGCCUACCUACAAAUUUGCAUGUAGUUCAGUGAAAUGAUGCUGAUUAAGAAAAUAAUUAAUUAGAUUAUAUUUGGAUAUGUGCCCAUUAGAGGUGCACUACCUUAAGUUACUUCCAAUUUCAUGCCUUGUUGGACAGCUAGGAUUUUCUGUUUAAAGGUUAAAUUUGCUUAUUAUAAAUGAAAGGAAUAAUAUUUGAACAGUUUAUAUAUUUUGCAAAAUCAAUGAAUUCUGUUAUAUGUACAAAAGCUUUAUAUUAAUUACUCUUAUUGGCUUUGUUGAUUUCUACGAUAAGAUCUCUUUAUUUGUUGUUAUUUCUAUCUAGUCUUUCAGUUCUUUUUUGUUUGUUUCUUUGUUAUUUUUUUGUUAAACCUAAAAUGCAUUAAAUGAACAAAUUGUAUUAUGCUGUAUUUUCAAUUAGAUUGCAAUUUACAAUGUGCAAAUUAUAUAUAUUCAUAUGGAGAAAUAUUUACAGAAUCUCCUACUUUCCAGACAUUCCGAUGUUAACUUGCUUGUGGAAAAGAAAUGUAAAUAGUAAAUUAAUACAUAUUCUAUCUUGUAGUCAAAUCUAUUUCGGGACAAUUAUUGAUACGGAGGUUACAUAGUUUUAAGACGUAAAUGUUGCAUUUCAAUAGAAACCUAUCAGAAUUUAAGUGUGUUUGGUAGUACAAUAGAGCAGCAGUUAGAAUUCAAUACAAAUGAAUGUCAAGCCUAUGAAAGACAGUUGGUCUUACAACAGACUUGAGCAUUGUUUAAAUUCGGUGCCAGAUAUACAGUAUAUAUGUGUUGCAUUGGAUCUUGGACACAAGUAGCUUGUAUUAUAUCUUAAACGAUACUACCUCACUGUAGAGGUUAAGCACUACUUCUGCCAUACUAAUACUUUGUUCUGCAUCUAUUGCAUAGUAUUUAUUGCUACCAUAAAUAUAUGCUCUUUGAGUGGAAUUUUUUCUUCGGUUACCGGGUACUUGCUUUCCCGUGUAUUUUGAAUAAUUAUUGAUUGAAGACAUAAUUUAUGUGUUAAAUAAAUGUUGGGACCUUCCUCUUUCUCAGAAUAUGAUGUUAAUAAAAUAGACCUUCAAAAAGAGUGGGUAUGUGACUGUUAUUUAUGAUUUAUUGAAGACUUUAGUAGAUGAAAAUAUAUAUAUGUAAUACCCUUUCACAUCUAUAAUAAAUAUUUAAGUUUGAUGCAUGUAACAAACAUAUAACAAACAGUUUUUGUGGACAAAGCAAGACAACAGUGUUAAUAAGAUCUGAUUUUGUGUUUGUACAAUUAGAUGAAUGUAAAAUUUUAGCACAGAUGAUUACAGCUUGCUGAUGAACAGAGUGGAUAUGUCCCCUCAAUGGAUCCAAUGUGUACAUUUCAAUAUUAAAUUGAAUGCUGGGAAAUAAUUUGUUCAAACACAACAAAUUUGUACAAAAUAGUGGCAAUUACAAUUAUGCCAAAAUGAACAUAUUUUAUUUAUUUUUGUGUUGAACAAAUGAUGAAAUUAUUAUAAUUAUAGCUGCUAUUUAUGCUUGUAGAUUAAUUGUUUAAAAGAUGAUGAUUGUGACUUGUAGAACUAGAUCUUUGCAGUCUAUGGAUUACUGUUACAUGCAUUAUGAUAGCUGUGUAUCUCUUAGGUGGUAUGGAAUAAAUUAUUGUUAUAUAUGGA